Molecule: long non-coding RNA, 605 nt
Filed under: Anas platyrhynchos platyrhynchos (common mallard)
Lineage: Eukaryota; Metazoa; Chordata; Aves; Anseriformes; Anatidae
Description: lncRNA (ENSAPLG00000024152.1)
Source: RNAcentral
UGUAUGCAAGAGAGCUCUUCAGAGCUGUUGGAAGAUAUACCUAAAGGAAUACCAGGGUAAAAUGGAUUGAGGAACACUGCUGCUGACAAAGCUGCUUCAACGUGUGACCCUACAGAAGUAAGAAAUCAGCUGAAUAUCUUAAACUUCAAAGAAGGAAUCUUGAUUUGGGACAGGAGUUGAGCAGAAGACUGCAAAGUAACAGCUGACCUAGAAGUGAAGUAUAUUGUACAAGAAAGCUGCAGACAGAGGAAGGAAGUAGAGGGCAAGAAAGACACCGAGUUUACUGAAUACAACAAUUGUUUUUCUAACCCUGUGCAUGUGUGUGGAUGCUUGGUUUGGAAGGCACACCAGAGGGAAGACAAAUCAAUAAAAGCUGUUCUCACAGGUUUGAAAUUAAACAUUUAUAAAGCACUGGUAUAAGGGAGGUUUUGACUUUAUCUGUUUUACAUGUUUUCACUCACAAAAAUUCAGUUUUGAUGAGACCUUUUUCCAGUUUACAAUAGAAGUUAUUUUUUAGAAUUUCUUUGUGGUUAUUGACAUGACUUUCAAAACUGACCAAUGAUUUUGAUUGAGGAAAGAUGUUUAUGUAAAUAUUUUAAAGAACC